Long non-coding RNA from Betta splendens (Siamese fighting fish), 1758 nucleotides. The record is from Ensembl. Lineage: Eukaryota; Metazoa; Chordata; Actinopteri; Anabantiformes; Osphronemidae.
GUAACAUGCAUAGCCAUUUUAAAUCCCUGUUAGUCAUUUACUGUCAGAAUUGUGCCGUUUUUGCCAACGCUGCCUGUAAACUGAGCGAGCCCUGAGUUGAUUUUGGUCGAUAUUUCCGCUUUUGUUUCACCAGGAUUGAAGAGCAGGAAGUUAAGGCUCACCGGCGUGACGUGAUGAUGCUGAACACCAAUAAAUCAUUACAAGCAGACAAUACUGAAGAAUGUUCUGACAACAGCAGCAGGGACUUAUGGAGACUUGAGCAGAUGAUGAGGAUUUUAAGCAGGAGAAGCGCAGACGUCAUCUCAGACUGCGGCAUCGCUCAUUUCCAGCGCUAGAUGUUGGAGUUGAAGGGAGUCCAGUAAUGGGGACGAGGUGCCACUUGUCUGAUCCACUCCUCCUCCUGACCCGGCUCCUGGCUGAGCUGUACUCUGGUUUUCACAGAGCUAUUUCUGUUUUUUCAUGUGUUUGAGAGUGACAGGGAAGGAGAGCGCAGAUGACAAGCAAGGUCAUGAGCUGAGUCCCAACCUAUUACUGGUGGAGUGUGUGCCUGAGCCUGGUGGAGAGCCAGGAUACCUAGAGGAAACCCUGAGUCUAUGGAAACGCAGAGGAGGCCAUUCACGCUUUAUUAGGCCACAGUACAUUACUUGGUAUGGUCUCUGCUCCACCCGUAACCUGCGUGAUGGCUCCAUCCGAACAUCUGAACAUGUACCGACAGCUCAUCCAUGGAAUGAUCCUGGAGUCGAGUUGUUCAAGCUACUGUAGCUUAAUCGUAAACCUGUGUUUGAAUAUUUGUAUAUAAUAUUUGUAUAUUUAAAUUUUUCAUAAAAGUCUGUCUGAAGGUUUGAUUUCCUCCACAUUUCACAGCUGUUUUUGUUUGCAGUCAUUUAUUAGAGUUAAGUUAAAUAAGUUGACUGGAAGCUGUUAAUUCAUUCAGCUCCUCUCUUCAUACUUCAGACGCUAAUUUAAUACAAAUAAUCUCUGUUAAGUUGCUAUGGAAAGCGUCUGGUAGCCAUCACCGUCACUGCUCUGUUAUUCAGAAUUAAUUCGCAGACUCAACUUCAAACACUUUCCAUUUCCAUUUCCCCCUGAUGCAAACUGACGUUCCAUCCUCAUUUGCGUCGCGUGUUAUCUGACGCUGAGAGGAAGAUGCAUGCCAUAUGUCAACUCUAUUACUCAGCCGAGAUUGCUUUCAAUUAUCAUGACAAAAUGCAAUAUGCCAACAGGUACACAUGCCUGGGUGAGCUCCACGUGCGUGGACGCUCACCCAACCUGCAGCCGUAAUACUAACCUGAAUCUGUACGUCGCCAACCUGACGGACAGCUGGCGCUUGGAGGACGUCACCCCACAGGCGCUUCUACUGUCGCUGCACAAGGACUGAAGCGCUUUCUCCUGCACAACUAGACUGUAAUUGACUUGAAUGUUAAGGCUCAUGCUAGCUUGCUAACGCUCCCCUCGCGAUCCUGCUGUCGAUCCUAUUUCCAUACCCGGCAUGGAGCUGCGGUGCUAAUAACGUUAGCGUGCUGACGGUCGCUGUGGAAGCGAGGCUUCUGCGUUGGUCCUCCCCUUUACAGACAAACAGUCCAGGUCGGGUUAGUGCAGUGCGUUCGGAUCCUGCUGUGAACACUGAAUUCAUUGUUUACCACUCCCAGUGUGUGACUGUUGGCUUCCUGAGGCGCAUCACAAAGCUGAACCUUCAGACUGGCCAAAAUGAAAUAUGCGUGUUUAACCCCAGGCUUUACUGUCAUUUUUCCAUUGUUU